AGUGAUACAAAACAAAAGCAACAACAACAAGAAUUUGUUAAAACUUCGCUGUUAGUAAUGUGCGUGAAUGUGCGCGCAAAAUGUGAAAUAACCAAAUACGAACAACAAUUUUCCGGCGCUCCGAAACGUAGAUGCGUUCUGUAAUGAAAGAUGUGUACGAGGAAUACGUUUUCAAUCGCAGGCAUCCGAGUUCUGGGUUGGAAAGGAUUGCUGAAGAGUUAAUGGGUAGGAGGAAAUGGAAGCUGUAUCAAGACUCGAUGCAAAGGAAUUACUUGCAGCCGCUGAACAACAACGUGAGGAAGAACGAGAAGUAUCAGAAGCAGGAGCAGCAGCAACAGGAGGUGGAAGACGAGGAGCGAAGAGGUGCGAAGGAGCACUUCGAGGAAGCGGACGGAGAGCUGGGGGAGGAAUUGACGAGGAGGAAAGGGUCGUCGACGACGGCGACCACUACGACGACGGCGCCCAGGGAGCGGGCGACCCGCGAGGACGGGGAAGAGGAACAGGAGGAGAUCGAGGAAUCGACGGCGGCGGCGGCGGCUGUUGCGAAGACGACGGUGGCGGUCGCUUCCGGUCUAAGGGUGGAGGAAGAGGAGGAGGAAGACGACGACGAAGACGAGGAGGAAGCGGAAGAAGGAGAGGUGGCGGCUGCUGCUGCUGCAAAGACGGCGCUCGCAAAGGAACAGGAGCAGGAUCUGGCGGCGGCGGCGGAAGCGGCUGCCCUCGCGGCCACCGCGACCGCCAGCCCCACGACCGGAACGACGACGAAGACGACUGCUGCCGACUUCAGGCGCGACUCGGACGACGUCACCGACGCCGAAGACGAGGACAAACUCAAGGACUGGACGCCCCAGAGCAAGUGCUACUUUUGCGUGGACGGCAAACUGGAUGAACACAACAACCACGGUGGUUUGAGUCCCCAUCAGAGCGACUCGGAUUCGAGUGACAGCCGAAGUGACCUGGAGGCGCCCCCUACACUGACGCCGACGGGGACGACGGCAUCAGCGGCGGUGUCCCUUCUCAACAACCUGAACAGCCUUAACCAUCCGAACAGCAGGAACAUGACGGCCAUCGAGAGUGUCACCUCGAUAGCGGCGAUGGCGACGGUGGCGGCGCUGACGGGGAACGGCGCUCCAGGUGGUGGUGGUGGAGGUGGCCACCAUCAGCAUCACCAGCACCACCAUCCCCAUCACCCCCAUCUGCCGUUCUAUCCGCCCAACCUGCUGUCCCAGAACUGGUUCCACCUGACCAAUUUAGCCAGAAACUUCCAUGCGAACUCCAACGAUACGGAGAAGGUGGCGGCGGCGGCGGCAGCGGCGACCGCAGCGGCUGCAGCAGCGGCUGCAGCAGCGGCAGCGGCCUCCGGCGAGCAGCCCCUCGAUCUCAGCUCCAAAGGGACCACAGUAACCAACAAUAACAACAACAACAACACAAACAACAGCAUCAUCACCAAUAGCAACAAUAAUGCCGCCGCCGCCAACAACAACAGCAUCAACAACAACAACAACGCCAUCGUCGCCGACAAACUCAACGUCAACGCGAGACUAUCUUCGCUGGACAACAAACAGAUAUUCAAUUCUGAUUUUAGAGCGAAGCCUAGGAUGUCCGCAGUUGCCGGAAGGAGGACCUACACCGAGGAGGAACUGCAGGCGGCGCUGAGGGACAUCCAGUCGGGUAAAUUGGGGACGAGAAGGGCGGCCGUCAUCUACGGCAUCCCCAGGUCGACGCUCCGAAACAAGGUGUACAAGUUGGCGCUGGAACGAGAAAGGGAAUCACACCUGAACUCGUCCGCAUCGGCCGCCACGAAUCUGUCCAAACUGGAGGACGAGGAGGCGAUGGACGAGGACAAGGAGCUUUCGGGGGCGGAGGAGGAGAAGGAGGUGGAACGGGCACUGCAGCGCCCUCUCUUAUCGAUGGACGAUCUCCUCUCGAAUUUAGAGAACUCGGAAGCGAUGAAGAUGUUGCUGCGAAAAUCGAAGGAUCAGCAGCUUCCACCAGGCGUCGCACUUCUUCAGCAGCAGCAGCAACAACACAACCUGAACAUGAAUCUUCAUCAGCAGGAGAGUUUCGCCGAGCACGGCGCUCUCAUCCAGAACCUCCUGAUGAGCGGUCUUCCCGCUCAGAAGUUGCUCGAAGGGGACGUCAGUUUGCCGGAGGUGGUCAAGAGGAUGAUCGCCGAAGAGCAGAUGCUGAUGGAGCAGGCGAAGAGCAACAACGGAGUGGAGAAGUCGACGAGCGGUGAGGCGACGAGUCCGGCGAACUCGGUGAUCCUGCUGAAGACCGAAUCCGAUAUGGAGACGGAGGAUUCCACUUCGAAUGUGAUACUGAAGAUUCCGUCCUUUAAGCCGACGAGCAGUAAAAACGGCGACGCCUUCCGCGGAGGUCACCUGGAGACGCAACUGCUCGUCUCUCCUCCGGUCACCACCAGCGAAUCCGGAUCUCCGCCGAUACUUCCCGGAAAAGGGAUGACUUUGAAGGACGUCAAAGAUGUCAUCGCGAAGAGCAUCAGCCAGAAGUUCCAGCAGAGUCCGGAGCCGACACUGAGGCAUCAUCCUUCCUCGAUCAUCGACAUGGAUUACAAGAGGUAUACGCCGCCACUGGGUGGUAUCUCGGUUAUUAAGACGCAGCAGCAGCAGGAGAUGGCGUCCAGGUCGCAGUACCAACCGCAGGUGUCGCAGCAACAACAACAGCAGAAGCAGCAACAACAACAGCAGCAAAACUCAAGUCAAGGACAGGUGGGACAGGCGUCAUCUGGCGGUGGCAAAGGGACGCGUCCGAAGCGCGGCAAGUACAGGAACUACGAUCGCGACAGUCUCGUGGAGGCGGUGAGGGCGGUGCAGAGGGGCGAGAUGUCCGUUCAUCGAGCCGGAAGUUACUACGGCGUUCCCCAUUCCACGCUCGAGUACAAGGUGAAGGAGAGACAUCUGAUGAGGCCACGCAAAAGGGACCCAAAACCGAACCCCGUCGACGAGAAGAUCGCGUCUCUGAAGCAGAACGACAUCAGGAACGCCGCGGAAUGCAAACUGAAAACGCAGGCAACCAUAAAAGCACCACAAAAGUACCCGCCCACCUCGCCUAACGGCCUGAAGUUGCCUAUCUACGAGAACAUGACGCCGAUCGGUUACAACACGGCGCCAUUCCCGUUCUGGCCUCCACCAGGUUACCAUCCACUCCCGAUGGAUUACGCCAGAUCCUCCACGUCCACCGGUUAUCCGCAGAGUCCGGAGCAGUUCUUCGCCUCGCAGAUGAUGCAGAAACUGCACGAGGAUUCCCGUGCGAACGCGAACGCCCCUGGCGGACAGCAGCUCGCCAAGAGCGCCCGACAGAUGGCGGAGUCUCUUCUCGACAGCGGCGGCUCGAACGGUUUCCUCGACGGCAUCAUCCGUUCCAGCCUCGAAUCCGGCGUCCCCGUCGGUGGCGGUGGAGACGAUCGCAAGGAAGACCUCAAGAACGUCGCCCCCGAGAACAUGUCGAACAAGGCACUCCUGGAUCAGCUGUGUCGCAACAGCCGCCUCCCGCCGCUCACCAAACCGGAACCGAGCAGCAGUUCCGGCGACGACGACCGGAAGGAGGACACGAACUCACGCGACUCCGCAGGAAUCCACACGAUCGAGCUCUCCAACGACUCCUCCCCCAGGUCCCCUGUAGGAUCGCAGGAUCACGACACCCACAACGAGAUCAAACCGCCCACGGGUCGCAUCUAUCUCAAGCAGGAGCUCACCAAACCGGAAAACCUCAAACCGGAAAUGCUCGUCCGCUACAGCAGAUCUGUCCUCCAACAACAACAGCAACAGCAGGACGAAAUCCGCAACAACGGCAACGUCGAGGGCAGCAAUUCCGAAUCGGACGCCGCGCAGGACUGACACCGUCCGCCCAGAGGGCCGCAACCCUACGAGCAGCAGCAGCAGCAACAGCAGUAUGUUAAAACAAGUGAUUUUCCCGAUCAUUCCUGAUGAGCACGACAUCUCUGAUAUCAAUUUUUAACUAUAUUUUAUUUGCAAACUCCGGACACGACAUUCUCCCCAUACAUAAACACACACGCGCAAAUCCAAAACAAAAAAAAAAACAAAAACAAAAGACAAAUAGCGAAAAUCGAGGUGGGCUGUGAUUUUUCCACAAUUAUACGGAGAAAAUAAAAAAACAAGUUUAGAGGUUAAAGUUGAGUCAAGUUUUGACAUUCCAUUUACACACAAGAAGAAAAAAAAACAUUACAAAUCGCUCAAUCUCGCGCUCAUUUUAAAGCAUUCACUAUAUUCUAUUACAUUAAGUAAAAUCUGAUGAUCUUAACUUGAAACAUUCCCUAAUUCUCAUUCAAAAGGAACAAAACAAAACAAGAAACUUGACUCGAUUUAUGCAACUUGUGAAACAACAAUAAUGACAUACAAAUUGUCAUCAUUAAUUACAGCCCAUCUCGAAUCCUCGAAACCGAACUGAAUAACAGAAACCAUUCCACCGUUGUUUUCUUUUUUUUUUAAUAGCAUUUCACACAAAAUUAUGAUUUACGUAAACUGAGAUUUUUCCACGUAUCUAUAUUAUUAUUUUGGCUUCUACUCUAUU
This is an RNA transcript of Nicrophorus vespilloides, 4554 nucleotides long. It is a transcript of the gene named mushroom body large-type Kenyon cell-specific protein 1, with no coding region annotated. The transcript is spliced from 5 exons. NCBI's taxonomy places the organism in Eukaryota, Metazoa, Arthropoda, Insecta, Coleoptera, Silphidae. The record is from RefSeq and is a predicted model, not a curated record.